Non-coding RNA from Potamilus streckersoni, 74 nucleotides. Lineage: Eukaryota; Metazoa; Mollusca; Bivalvia; Unionida; Unionidae. The record is from the annotation of a GenBank genome assembly.
UGCUCUGGUGGCCAAGUGGUUAGGUCGUCUGCCUCAGAUGCGGGAGAUCGUGGGUUCGAUCCCGGUCGAGUCAU